AGUCAAUGAUGACAUCAAAGUUUCAAUCCUAGAGAAAAGAGCAAGAAGGAAGUACCAUCAACAGCACACAGAAACAUGGGUGAAGGAACAAAUCAGCAGCGGCAGCUAAAUACGGAAUGUCUACUCUGAGCCUCUGGCACUAGCAGGAAAUCUAACCAAACAACAGAACCCCAAGGGGAGGUGGAGGUGGAGGGAGGCCAGGACCAGAGAAUGAUCAUGGAAGUGACAGAUUACCGUGGUGGGUAAGAAUGUCAGCUGAGUUCAAAACAGAGCUUCCUUACUUCACAGCUGUGUGAUCACAGGUGUGUUUCCGAACCAGUCUACUGCCUCGGUCUCCCCACCAGUGAAAUGAAGAAUUCGAAAAAGAAACUCAUUGAAUCCUUGCUGAAAAUGAAGUAGAGAACAGCAACUGAGCACACAGCCUCAGAGUGUCCUACUGAGGUGUGUAUAGUUAUAGGAGACAAGGAGGACGAGAGAGUGACAAAGGGCAGAGGAAACUUCUGAGAGUGACACAUUCAUCGUCUUGAUUGUGGUGACGGUUUCACGGGUGUAUACAUAUGUCAAAACUCAUCAAACUGUAAGCUUUAAAUAAUGCGGCUUAUUGUAUAUCAAUUAUACCUUAAUAAAGUUGUUUAAAAGUAAGUAUUAAAGAAAAAUAAACCUAAGACACUGCAAAGAAGACCAGGCUUGGGUGAGGGUCUUUGGAGAGUUUGGCAACAUAAGCAUCCACUAAGGGGAUAGCAGGAAAAAGCAUGGCAGGGGAGGGUGGGAUGAAAAAGAGAUAAGAAAACAUAUCUGUGUUUUGUUUUUUUUUUUAGUACUUAGAGCAACACUAUUCUUAAUUCUGCCUAGAGCUUCACUUUGCUAUUCCGAGCACCUAGUGAAUUCUGUUUUUAUUAGGAAAAACCAGAAAGAGUGCUAUCCUUGAUACAGAUUCUCAGGUCACAGAAUUCAGCUCCUCUGGCAUUUAAACUGGCCUAGGAUAUGUAGACCACCACAAAAAGACAGAAUGUCACAGCACCUUAGUUUUCCAAGGAUUACUCUUAAAAGAUUUUGCUUUAACUAUCUCCACUCUCACAGACUCAGAGCCAGAAAAGCCUGAUGUUUUCCUUCUAUCUCAUUUACCACAUUGCACUGAUUCUAAAACACACAUUUUGUUUGCAUUUUAACACCCCUAAAAUCAGGAAGCAUUUUACAGUUUAUAGCAUCUUUUCAUCUCUGUCACCAGGGGGCAGUCGUGACAUAGCUGUCUGCCUCUGGGUACACAGCUCAAAUGUCUAACUGUGGUCACUUCAACGGUGCUAUAUGCAUUGCUGGAACUACCUGCAUGCAGUCUAACUUGAAUUUUCAAAUGUUUUCAAAAACUACACAAGCCUUAAACAACAAGGUCCUACUGUAUAGCACAAGGAACUAUAUUUAAUAUCCUGUAAUAAAUUGUAAUU
Delphinapterus leucas (beluga whale) is the source of this 1442-nucleotide non-coding RNA. Lineage: Eukaryota; Metazoa; Chordata; Mammalia; Artiodactyla; Monodontidae. The record is from RefSeq and is a predicted model, not a curated record.